GACGAACCCGUGCGAACGUUGUUCGGAAUCACUGGGCUUAAAGGGCGCGUAGGCGGGCUGUCAAGUCUGGGGUGAAAUGCCGCGGCUCAACCGUGGAAGAGCCUCGGAGACUGAGGGCCUCGAGGGGGGUAGGGGCGUGCGGAACUAUGGGUGGAGCGGUGAAAUGCAUUGAUAUCCAUAGGAACUCCGGUGGCGAAGGCGGCACGCUGGACCCCUUCUGACGCUGAGGCGCGAAAGCCAGGGGAGCAAACGGGAUUAGAAACCCUGGUAGU
This 272-nucleotide ribosomal RNA is filed under the name uncultured bacterium. RNAcentral's name for it is "partial 16S ribosomal RNA". It matches the Rfam family "Bacterial small subunit ribosomal RNA", at positions 524 to 794 of the family's 1533-position model. The record is from RNAcentral.